UCACCGAGUAGUUCGCGCCAAAUCGUGUGCCGCAAAUUUACCGCGAUUUAGUGAAUAAAGUGUUCUUCGCCGCUUCAACGAGUGAAAAUCGUGUGCAAAUAACAUCUGUGCAUGCGCACAAGUAAAGGUUAAUGGGCGCCAGCAGAAGGACGGACAACAUUCACUGGAAUACUCAAGGAAUGUUUGCAGUCAUGGGUUUUUUUGAGAAACCAUCUGUAAUAUUACUUAUAAGGGCUAUUCUUCCAUUAAAAUAAAAACGAAGUAAUUUGUAA
Bacillus rossius redtenbacheri is the source of this 272-nucleotide long non-coding RNA. RefSeq lists it as uncharacterized. The transcript is spliced from 2 exons. Lineage: Eukaryota; Metazoa; Arthropoda; Insecta; Phasmatodea; Bacillidae. The record is from RefSeq and is a predicted model, not a curated record.